RNAcentral lists this ribosomal RNA (416 nucleotides) under uncultured beta proteobacterium. Its description in RNAcentral is "bacterial SSU rRNA". It matches the Rfam family "Bacterial small subunit ribosomal RNA", at positions 9 to 429 of the family's 1533-position model. Lineage: Bacteria; Pseudomonadati; Pseudomonadota; Betaproteobacteria. The record is from RNAcentral.
GAGUUUGAUCUUGGCUCAGAUUGAACGCUGGCGGCAUGCUUUACACAUGCAAGUCGAACGGUAACGCGGGGGCAACCCUGGCGACGAGUGGCGAACGGGUGAGUAAUACAUCGGAACGUGUCCUGGAGUGGGGGAUAGCUCGGCGAAAGCCGGAUUAAUACCGCAUACGCUCUGAGGAGGAAAGCGGGGGACCUUCGGGCCUCGCGCUGCGGGAGCGGCCGAUGUCGGAUUAGCUAGUUGGUGGGGUAAAGGCCUACCAAGGCGACGAUCCGUAGCUGGUCUGAGAGGAUGAUCAGCCACACUGGGACUGAGACACGGCCCAGACUCCUACGGGAGGCAGCAGUGGGGAAUUUUGGACAAUGGGGGCAACCCUGAUCCAGCCAUGCCGCGUGAGUGAAGAAGGCCUCGGUUGUAAG